GGAUGAGAGGGUGAUCUGGCUGGAACAUCCAUCACGCCAUUGAUCACCAGAGUUGGUUUGGCUGAUCCAGCUGGCUAGGCGGGUGUCUCCUUCCCCGACUCACUGCUCCCAAAGCUGCGAGCUUGAUCAAAGAACAACCACCCCACAAUAGAGGAGGACAGUUUCCUUGCUGAAGGGUAUACGAGUAGCUGCUCCCCUGCUAGGACCUCCAAACAAGCUCUCAAAAGUUCAAGGCCAGCCUGCUCAACUUAGCAAGACCCUAUCUCAAAAUGAAAUACAGAGGGCUGAGAAUGUAGCUCCCUGGGUU
This 307-nucleotide small nuclear RNA is filed under the name Chinchilla lanigera (long-tailed chinchilla). RNAcentral describes it as "7SK RNA (ENSCLAG00000021999.1)". It matches the Rfam family "7SK RNA". From Rfam's summary of the family: 7SK was discovered as an abundant small nuclear RNA in the mid-70s but a possible function has only recently been suggested. Two independent studies have found that 7SK RNA binds the CDK9/cyclin T complex (known as elongation factor P-TEFb). The record is from RNAcentral. Lineage: Eukaryota; Metazoa; Chordata; Mammalia; Rodentia; Chinchillidae.